AGUGAACGCUGGCGGUAGGCCUAACACAUGCAAGUCGAACGGCAGCACAGUAAGAGCUUGCUCUUACGGGUGGCGAGUGGCGGACGGGUGAGGAAUACAUCGGAAUCUACUUUUUCGUGGGGGAUAACGUAGGGAAACUUACGCUAAUACCGCAUACGACCUACGGGUGAAAGCAGGGGAUCUUCGGACCUUGCGCGAUUGAAUGAGCCGAUGUCGGAUUAGCUAGUUGGCGGGGUAAAGGCCCACCAAGGCGACGAUCCGUAGCUGGUCUGAGAGGAUGAUCAGCCACACUGGAACUGAGGCACGGUCCAGACUCCUACGGGAGGCAGCAGUGGGGAAUAUUGGACAAUGGGCGCAAGCCUGAUCCAGCCAUACCGCGUGGGUGAAGAAGGCCUUCGGGUUGUAAAGCCCUGUUGUUGGGAAAGAAAAGCAGCAGGUUAAUACCCCGCUGUUCUGACGGUACCCAAAGAAUAAGCACCGGCUAACUUCGUG
This 492-nucleotide ribosomal RNA is filed under the name uncultured bacterium. Its description in RNAcentral is "partial 16S ribosomal RNA". It matches the Rfam family "Bacterial small subunit ribosomal RNA", at positions 29 to 507 of the family's 1533-position model. The record is from RNAcentral.